Molecule: ribosomal RNA, 689 nt
Filed under: Calothrix sp. BC001
Lineage: Bacteria; Bacillati; Cyanobacteriota; Cyanophyceae; Nostocales; Calotrichaceae
Description: bacterial SSU rRNA
Rfam family: Bacterial small subunit ribosomal RNA
Source: RNAcentral
CCGCGCCCCGCGCCGGUCCCGCCGCCCCCGCCCGCGGACGGGUGAGUAACGCGUGAGAAUCUGCCUUUAGGUUCGGGACAACAGUUGGAAACGACUGCUAAUACCGAAUGUGUCGAAAGAUGAAAGAUUUAUUGCCUAAAGAUGAGCUCGCGUCUGAUUAGCUAGUUGGUGUGGUAAAAGCGUACCAAGGCGACGAUCAGUAGCUGGUCUGAGAGGAUGAUCAGCCACACUGGGACUGAGACACGGCCCAGACUCCUACGGGAGGCAGCAGUGGGGAAUUUUCCGCAAUGGGCGAAAGCCUGACGGAGCAACGCCGCGUGAGGGAGGAAGGCUCUUGGGUUGUAAACCUCUUUUCUAAAGGAAGAUAAUGACGGUACUUUAGGAAUCAGCAUCGGCUAACUCCGUGCCAGCAGCCGCGGUAAUACGGAGGAUGCAAGCGUUAUCCGGAAUAAUUGGGCGUAAAGCGUUCGUAGGUGGUUAUGUAAGUCUGCUGUUAAAGCGUGUAGCUCAACUACAUAUAGGCAGUGGAAACUACAAGACUAGAGUGCGUUCGGGGCAGAGGGAAUUCCUGGUGUAGCGGUGAAAUGCGUAGAGAUCAGGAAGAACACCGGUGGCGAAGGCGCUCUGCUAGGCCGCAACUGACACUGAGGGACGAAAGCUAGGGGAGCGAAUGGGAUUAGAUACCCCCA